GCCGGUAUAGCUCAGUGGUAGAGCGUUCCACUCGUAUUCUGCGAUAUGGAAAGGUCCACGGUUCGAUCCCGUGUAGCGGCA
Transfer RNA from Verticillium dahliae VdLs.17, 81 nucleotides. It matches the Rfam family "tRNA". From Rfam's summary of the family: Transfer RNA (tRNA) molecules are approximately 80 nucleotides in length. Their secondary structure includes four short double-helical elements and three loops (D, anti-codon, and T loops). The record is from Rfam. Lineage: Eukaryota; Fungi; Ascomycota; Sordariomycetes; Glomerellales; Plectosphaerellaceae.